AAACAAAACCAGGAGAUUCACUGCAUGAGAUCAACACAAAUCCACCUUUAGCAAUAGGAUAAGAACAAGAACAAUCCCAGUUGUAGGAUUACGUUAAUUCUAAGAUUCCACUUCCUACCAUCACUCAUCAUUGAACCUCAAUUUGAUUUUGUUCGAAGUAAUACUUUCUUUUCACUCUGUUGCUGCAAUACUCUUUUGAAUUCACCCACAUGGUCACAUCCAUAUAUCAAGCACAAUAACGAAGUUGAGCUUUGAUUUCCUGAUUUUCCGGCCAAAUAAGGUUCAUCAGAGCCUAAACUGUGAUUAGUAAUAGUUGGUUGAGUUCCUUUACAUACUUUCUCUCUACAAGGAAAAAAAUUUGAAGAAAAAGAGGAGGUGGGUAUCCUGUGAUUUUGGGUUAAAUUUGAUUUUUUUUAAUUAAAAUUUUAAAAAAUUAAUCUAGACAAGUGGGAUCCAUUUUUUAUUUUUGGAA
RNAcentral lists this unclassified non-coding RNA (472 nucleotides) under Hevea brasiliensis (rubber tree). Lineage: Eukaryota; Viridiplantae; Streptophyta; Magnoliopsida; Malpighiales; Euphorbiaceae. The record is from RNAcentral.